This 497-nucleotide ribosomal RNA is filed under the name uncultured bacterium. RNAcentral's name for it is "partial 16S ribosomal RNA". It matches the Rfam family "Bacterial small subunit ribosomal RNA", at positions 28 to 507 of the family's 1533-position model. The record is from RNAcentral.
GAUGAACGCUGGCGGCGUGCCUAAUACAUGCAAGUCGAGCGAACAGACGAGGAGCUUGCUCCUCUGACGUUAGCGGCGGACGGGUGAGUAACACGUGGAUAACCUACCUAUAAGACUGGGAUAACUUCGGGAAACCGGAGCUACUACCGGAUAAUAUAUUGAACCGCAUGGUUCAAUAGUGAAAGACGGUUUUGCUGUCACUUAUAGAUGGAUCCGCGCCGCAUUAGCUAGUUGGUAAGGUAACGGCUUACCAAGGCAACGAUGCGUAGCCGACCUGAGAGGGUGAUCGGGCACACUGGAACUGAGACACGGUCCAGACUCCGACGGGAGGCAGCAGUAGGGAAUCUUCCGCAAUGGGCGAAAUCCUGACGGAGCAACGCCGCGUGAGUGAUGAAGGUCUUCGGAUCGUAAAACUCUGUCAUUAGGGAAGAACAAAUGUGUAAGUAACUAUGCACGUCUUGAAGGUACCUAAGCAGAAAGCCACGGCUAACUACGUG